CUGCUGUUACUGAGUAAGACCACGGACACUAUCAUCAUUCGAUAUCGUGUGCAUUUCAACAGGUAGUAGGUAUACUGCUGUUGCAAAAUGCCACGAUUGUUUGCGUAUUCCUGGAUUAAUCUGUUUGUCUACAGGUAUGAAGAAACUUAAACGUUGCUGGACUUGGUGUAUAUUUUACAG
Long non-coding RNA from Topomyia yanbarensis, 180 nucleotides. RefSeq lists it as uncharacterized. Lineage: Eukaryota; Metazoa; Arthropoda; Insecta; Diptera; Culicidae. The transcript has 3 exons. The record is from RefSeq and is a predicted model, not a curated record.